CCCCAGCGCCACGAGUGGGAGUCGCUUUUAUUGGGCCUAAAGCGUUCGUAGCCUGUUUAGUAAGUCUUUUGUGAAGUUGUUAGGCUUAACCUGACAGCGUGCAAGAGAUACUACUUUUCUUGGGACCGGGAGGAGUAUGGGGUAUUCCAUGGGGAACGGUAAAAUGUAAUAAUCCAUGGAGGACCACCAGUGGCGAAGGCGCCAUACUAGAACGGAUUCGACGGUGAGGGACGAAGGCUAGGGGAGCAAAACG
RNAcentral lists this ribosomal RNA (253 nucleotides) under uncultured archaeon. Its description in RNAcentral is "partial 16S ribosomal RNA". It matches the Rfam family "Archaeal small subunit ribosomal RNA", at positions 474 to 726 of the family's 1478-position model. The record is from RNAcentral.